GCUAUACUCUUUUCUUCUGGCUCCUGUUUCUAUUUGUAAUACAACAGACUUGGUAGUAGUUUGACGCAGAUCGUCAUGUUUUAGCAAUGGCUUAGGUGUUUUUCACUAUUUGAAUCCUACAUUUGGCAUUCUCACUAGGAUCUUUCCUUGCUUUUGAUAGCAGGAUAUAGUAGAACUUCCAGUUCAUUCUAUAAAAAUAAAAAUAAAAAAUCAUAUAUCCUGCAGGCCAAUGUAUUUUGGUCAAUAACUGUUUUAGAAGUGGCUUUGAAACCGUUUCAACCAAAAACGUAUGGAACACUUACAAAACCAUGCUCUGUGCUUUUGAAGGACACCUAGGUGUUUUCAAGGACUUUCAAGGCCUUCUCUCCAAAACAAUAAGAUAGAACUAUCCCUAACAUGCAGGUGGCGGAGAAGACUAAGAACUCUUGAGGAUUUAUUUGUUUACUCCCUCAGUUUUGGAGAACUAUGGAGUAGAUAUAUAUUUAGAAACAAGUGGUGAAGGCCUCUGCCACUUUGGACCCAAAAGCUCUGAUUGGUUCUCAACUCUAUUUUUAACUUGGGGUUAUUGGUGAAGCAUUUAGAAACAUUUAUAAGACUGUGGAGAGUGCGUGAAUGCCGAUGCCAUUGUUUAUUUGUAAGGUAGACUUCUCAUGAUAGGAUUUUCACGUAAUGAGCAACUAUGUGAAAGGAAUCUUGUGUUUUUGGGUACUAGCGUAUUGCAAAGCCAUGCAGCAGACUUGACAUUUACCAAUUUUCCUCUAUAUAACUUAGGCUGUGUUUGUUUGAAAUUUCAUGAUAUUUGAUGAAAUUUUCCGCAACCAAACAUAACCUUAGAUGUGUCUAUCUCUUCCUAUGUCAAACACAACUAUAUGAUGUUUGACUGGACAAUGGUUAGUUCCUAGAUUCAAUGAGUGUAGGAGCAAUGGCAUUGAGGAAUGCUUUGGCUUAUCUUUCUCCAACCUACCAAGCAGCAGAUGUAGGCUCCAUAGAAGUUAUAUCUUCAAUGAAAUCUUGUGUUUUCUUCUUGAUCAGAGAAUUGUUCAAGUCCUAUGCACACUCAAUGCAAAUCAAGUGAUUGGUUGACUUAGAGAUUUGGGUGCAUCCUUGUGGAAGACUGAUCCUCGAACUUCCGUUUUUGUUUCUUUCUUUACUACAUAAUCUUCUUGCUAUAUUAUUUAUAAGAGAAAUCCCAUGUCCGAUCAUGAGACAAGUUAAAAAAAGACCUAGUAGCGUGAUGAUUGGUCAAGAGCACCUCUCCUAACAUUCCCAUAUCCUCCCCUGAGAGAGGCCUACUGAGGUCACUUUUGCCAAUCACCAUUCCGCAAUGUCAUAUACUCCUAUUUGUGAAACUAGGCCUAGCAUUCCCCUAUUUAUAAAAAUGCUAGUGGUAUCUCUCAGUGAGAGUGGGCCAUUGUUCAGCUUCACAUCAGCAUUGUGCAUAUGUCAAUAUAACUUCCUUCAAUAUGCCAAGCGAGAUGCAAAUAAACCCAUAAAAUUCUGGGAUUUUA
Magnolia sinica is the source of this 1508-nucleotide long non-coding RNA. RefSeq lists it as uncharacterized. NCBI's taxonomy places the organism in Eukaryota, Viridiplantae, Streptophyta, Magnoliopsida, Magnoliales, Magnoliaceae. The record is from RefSeq and is a predicted model, not a curated record. The transcript is spliced from 2 exons.